This 253-nucleotide ribosomal RNA is filed under the name uncultured bacterium. Its description in RNAcentral is "partial 16S ribosomal RNA". It matches the Rfam family "Bacterial small subunit ribosomal RNA", at positions 524 to 776 of the family's 1533-position model. The record is from RNAcentral.
UACGUAGGGGGCCAGCGUUGCUCGGAAUUACUGGGCGUAAAGGGUCCGUAGGCGGUGUGGCAAGUCGGGAGUGAAAUCUCUGGGCUUAACCCAGAGGCUGCUUCCGAAACUGCUGUGCUAGAGUGUGAGAGAGGCGAGUGGAAUUGCGGGUGUAGCGGUGAAAUGCGUAGAUAUCCGCAGGAACAUCCGAGGCGAAAGCGGCUCGCUGGAUCACAACUGACGCUGAGGGACGAAAGCUAGGGGAGCAAACAGG